This is a non-coding RNA of Pelobates cultripes (western spadefoot toad), 603 nucleotides long. Lineage: Eukaryota; Metazoa; Chordata; Amphibia; Anura; Pelobatidae. The record is from the annotation of a GenBank genome assembly.
CUUUGCUACUUGUGACCUUUUUAGAAUUAUUUCUUCUAACAAAAUAAAUUUAUGUAAAUGUGGAAUUUUCCAAGUUAGUUGAAAAAUGUUAUAUCAGGUUUUUAGAAAGUCCCACGCACACCAUGUCUAUAGUGCAUUGUCUCUAUCUUUCAGAUCAUAGAACGGCCUUCACUCGUCUUCGUUAUUGUAUACUUACUAUAGUGUUUUUCAUGCUUGGAUUUGUAAUACUGAUAAUUUAUUCAGGUAAGAUGUAGACCAAGGAAUCAGGACUUAAUUCCCAAACUAUUUUUGUAACUCGUCAGUACAGUAUAAGUUUUUUUUUAUAGAUGUAAACAAUAUCGUUUAUUGUUGAGAUAAAACAUACAAAACUAGGAAUGUCUUAAUUUUUUGGGGAUUUUUCACAGUAUUGGAGGGAAGAAUUAUUAUUAUAAUUUAUAUAGAGUCAACAUAUUUUCCAGCAUCUUACAAUUAUAAGAUAAUUUUUUUUUGCCUGUUUUUACUAUUUUAAACAUGUAACAUAUAUAAAUAAAACCAUUUAUGCAUUUACGAGUAACAUGACCAUUUCUGGUUUUAUUUCAGUUUGGUGUGUUCAGUCUAUCAGGU